GGUCCCGCCUGCCCUGUGACCCCUCUAGUUUAACGGCCGCGGUAUUUUGACCGUGCAAAGGUAGCGCAAUCACUUGUCCCUUAAAUGAGGACCUGUAUGAAUGGCAUGACGAGGGCUUAACUGUCUCCUUUUCCCAGCCAAUGAAAUUGAUCUUCCCGUGCAGAAGCGGGAAUAUUAACAUAAGACGAGAAGACCCUAUGGAGCUUUAGACAUCGGCACAGACCAUAUUAACUACCCCUUAAAAUAAGUAGCAUUUACUGGGCUCUGUCCCCGUCUUUGGUUGGGGCGACCACGGGGAACAAAAAAACCCCCACGUGGACAGAGAGAACAUCCCUCCCACAACCACGAGCCACAGCUCUAAACUACAGAACUUCUGACCAAUAAAGAUCCGGCAAUGCCGAUCAACGGACCCAGUUACCCUAGGGAUAACAGCGCAAUCCUCUUUAAGAGUCCAUAUCGACAAGAGGGUUUACGACCUCGAUGUUGGAUCAAGACAUCCUAAUGGUGCAACCGCUAUUAAGGGUUCGUUUGUUCAACGAUUAAAGUCUU
This 549-nucleotide ribosomal RNA is filed under the name Mugil bananensis (banana mullet). RNAcentral's name for it is "partial 16S ribosomal RNA". It matches the Rfam family "Bacterial large subunit ribosomal RNA", at positions 1851 to 2597 of the family's 2925-position model. The record is from RNAcentral. Lineage: Eukaryota; Metazoa; Chordata; Actinopteri; Mugiliformes; Mugilidae.